Microcebus murinus (gray mouse lemur) is the source of this 371-nucleotide non-coding RNA. The record is from RefSeq and is a predicted model, not a curated record. NCBI's taxonomy places the organism in Eukaryota, Metazoa, Chordata, Mammalia, Primates, Cheirogaleidae.
UCCUUUGCUCUUUCCAUCAUGUGAAGAUAUAGGAUAAAGAUAGACAAUUAUGAAACACGAAAUGGGCCCUCACCAGAUACCAAAUCUUCUGGGAUUUUGACCUUUGGAUUCUCAAGCUUCAAAAUUAAUGGGCAUAUUGCUCAACAUCCUAGAUGACAGCCAGAGAAGAGACAAGAGUCUGAAUGGAGAGAGAACUCCUUUCCAAGCUGAAUCCCAGGCACUGAUAGCACAAUGUCAGCAAAGAGACACAAGGUGAAUGGACUUCCUCUGAACUAUGCUGCCUUCUCCUUAAAGAGCUGGUCCGUCCCCUGCCUUCAUCUACAUAUAUGAACAUUUAUUAAAAUGAAAUAAAUGACUUAUAUACAAAUUCA